UCUGCCACCCAGGCUCACUAUAGCUUUGACGCCACCAGCCCCAAGUGCUCUCUUCCCUCCUCAGCCUCCCAAGUAGCUGGGACUACAGGUGUGUAUCACCAUGCCUGGCUAACUUUAAAAAAAUAUUGAGUAGAUAUAAGAUCUAGCUGUGUUGUCCAGGCUGUUCUCAAAUGCCUGCAUUCAAACAAUCCUCCCCUGUCUCGGCCUCCCAAAGUACUGGGAAUACAGGCAUGAGCCAUUGCUCCUGGCCCAGUUCAUUCAUUAAUUCAACAAAUAUUUAGACGACUAUUAUAAGCCAGGUAUGAGGAAAGGAACGAAAGAGAGGUGUAAGAGAGGUGUAGGAAUUAAAUGGGACAACAUAUAUGAAAACAUCCUGUAUGCUCUUGGUUGCUACGAACAAGAACCAUAACAGAAAGGCCUCAAAGAAAUAGAGAGGCAACCUAGAAUAAAGAUGAAAAUAAUGCAAUAGUCUAUUCUGAUGAGGGCUUUGAAAUAGAAAGUGAGAAUUUGAGGACUGAUUUCUAUAACAGUGGGCAAAUUACUGCAGUGUCUUAGUAAGGUAAGCGAGGCUAGAGAAAAACAGAACUGUGCCGGGCACAGUGGCUCACGCCUGUAAUCCCAGCACUUUGGGAGGCCAAGGCAGGAAGAUCAUUUGAGGUUGGGAGUUCAAGACCAGCCUGACCAACAGGGAAAAACCCCAUCUCUACUAAAAAUACAAAAAAUAGCCGGUGUGGUGGCACAUGUCUGUAGUCCCAGCUACUUGGGAGGCUGAGGCAAGAGGAUCCCUUGAACCCGGGAGGCGGAGGUCGCAGUGAGCCAAGAUCACGCCAUUGCACUCCAGCCUGGGCAACAAGAGGAAAACUCCAUCUCAAAAAAAAAAGAAAGAAAGAAAGAAAGAAAAAGAAAAAUAGAAUUGUAAUGGGAUGGAGGAUUUGGGAUAAUGGAUCAAAGAAGAUGAACUUCUACCAUGAAGAGUUUGAGCACAUUCUUGUCCAGUGUUCACCUGACCUGAUAAAGAGGACUUUAACUGACCAUGAAGUGGUUCCUGCUUCUUGAUAAGAUCUUCCCCAACAGUCUGUGCUGUUCUGAGCAAGUCUGGCUGGUUGUUGAGCCUCUGCUUUCCCUCUCCGAUUUGACCUGUUGGAUUCCAGGUUCUGACACCAAAAGGCUGACUGCUUCAAGCAAACACACUAACAAGCAUCCAAAUUGGGGCUGCAUUUGAGUCACCUGGGAAGUUUACAUUAUAUGCCUAGUACAGUGAUUCUGCUAUCUUUGAAGAACAUUUCUGAAAUUCCUUUGUUGGAAUUUCAUGGGGUUACAGUCAGACUCAUAGAAACCAUUAACCCAGCUCUACUCUUUACUUCAUAUGUGGGAACACCAAGGUUCUGGAGCUUUGGAAUCCACUGAGACCACACGUCCAAUUCCAGGCACAGCUGAAACCUAUCAUUUGCUUCCCUAAGAUAGGACUUUUCUUCAGUGCCAUUUACAAGCCACAGAAGAAAUCCUAAGAAUUCCUAAGAUCUCCUGAAUCUAUAGCAGUGGUUGUUCGUCUUUUUUUAAUCUUGGAGUCCUUGGGGAAAAUCUGUUAAAGCUAAAAACAAGAUCCCUCAGUAAAGAACACAUAUAGCCGGGCAUGGUGGCUCACGCCUGUAAUCCUAGCACUUUGAAAGGCCGAGGCAGGUGGAUCACUUGAGCUCAGGAGUUCAAGACCAGCCUGGGCAACAUGGUGAAACCCGAUCUCUACCAAAAAUACAAAAAAUUAGCCAGAUGUGGUGGUACGCACCUGUGGUCCAAGCUACACGGGAGGCCGAGGUGGGAGGAUCUACCUCUUCAGCCUGGGACUCAGAGGUUGCAAUGAGCCAAGAUAACACCACUGCACUCCAACAUGGGUGACAGAGUGAGACCCUGUCUCAAAACUAAAUAAAUAAAAAAAUAAAAACACACAUACACUAAAAACUUUCACAGACUCGAGGAUGAGAACUCUUGCCCUAUGUCAGCAUACAAACGCCUUCCUCCAAAUUUCAACAGCAGUUAUUAUGCAGCAAAAUCAUCUUCCUUAUACUCCAGACCUGCAGCCAAAGGACUUCUGGCUCUUCCCAACUAUCAAAUCCCGAAAGGAACGAAAUGUUCCUGUGCUGAGGAGGUCCAAAAGAAUGUGCUGUAGACUCAAAAGCCAUUUCCACAAGGAGCAUUCCAAGGAUAUUUGAAGAAAUCCAGAGUCCCUGGAAAGCAGAACUUCUCCGGAUGACCACCUGGCAGAGGUUAGCAUCUGCGUGCCUGUGCUGGUCGGUUCUUAAAUAAUCAGUCCCUUUCCCAGGCAAAGCUCAUGGGGAGCCUUUGGUGUGAUAACUUCUUAUAUGCUAAUAUAAUAAUGGACAAUUCCAAAGCUCAGCAGAAAGCCCCCCCUUCAGCAGCCUUCUCCAUGCAGGCUUUUGGAACCAUGCCAGGCAGUUAUGUGCAUCUGCCUUCCUGUUCCCAAGCUUUAUAUAAACAUUUACCUCUAUUUUCAUUUCUACUUCUCUUAACAGACUCUGGGUACAGGCAUAAAGGUCUGAGACUGGAUUCAUGCAUUCAUCAUUUAUAUGUCUAUUUGACAUAUAUGAAGAGGCCACCAUAUGUCAGCACUGCUAAUACAAUGGUGAACAAAAUAGUACUGCAGCAAGGCAGGCAGGCCAGGUGUGGUGGCUCGUGCCUGUAAACCCAACGCUGUGGGAGGCUGAAGCAGGAAGAUCACUUGAACCCAGAAGUUUGAGAUCAGCCUGAGUAACAUACUGAGACCUCCUCUACUAAUUUUUUUUUUUUUUUUUAAUUAGCUGGGCAUGGUGGUACAUGCCUGGUAGUCCCAGCUACUCCAGAGGCUGAGAUGGGAGGAGGAUCGCUUGAGCCCAGGAGUCUGAGCUUGCAGUGAACUAUGAUUCACUGCAUAUAUACCACUGCACUUCAGCCUGGGUGACAGAGGGAGACCUUGUCUCAAAUAAAUAAAUAAGAGAGAGAAAAAAAAACAGGCAAACAAGCAUCACAUAACAAAAUCCUAUCCCUUGGGAAAUACAGAAUACUUUAUAGGACAGCUUGGUCUCUUUGGGGUAAAGGAACCUUUUAACUUAAGAUCUGAUGUACACCUUUCCAGGGCCCUGCACAGUGUAUGUGCUCAAUCUGAAACUACCCUAGGCAAAAUCAUCUGGGCUUGCUGGAGAGGUCACUAACGGGCCAUUGCUAGUCAAUUUAAGAGUGGCUGUGGUGAGCCAGGAGCUCAGGGCCUGAGCAUUCCGAAAGCCAGCUAGCAUCAGGUGCAGGUUGUCACCUCCUUCAGCUCUUUCUGACACAUCUGUGAAGUGGCAGGAAACGCAAAUAGACGUAGAACUCUGUAGGGUUCAGUUCCGGGGUCUGCCGCUGAUUACAUUCAUGUGUUCUCACUUGUCCUCUUGUAUAAUGAUGCCACCUUCCAGAGCAAAGAAAGCUAUGAAAGCCUGUUGUGAAUGUAAGGACAUGGAAUCUAUCUAUUUAUCUAAUCUAUCGCCAGUCUGCCUCAAUUUGUAGGGGAAGAAGAGAGCAAGGUAAACAAUAAGUUUAGAAAAACUACAGGGACACUGCCAUGUAGGGCCUGUGCCUCAAGCCUUUUGCUGUCUCGCAUGACCUGGAUUUGGCAAGGAGGGGGCAGCUUGAAUUCCAGGCGGGCUAAAAGGCCUUGGCUGAGAAGCUCUAGCGGAUUUCACAACACAGUCUGCAAAGGCUUCCCACGAAGGGAUGGGGUAGGGGGAUGGGGAAAGCUGCAAUUCUGCAAACUGGGAAAGGGUAGGAGGUGGGAGGUUCCCGAAAGGCAGGAUGGAGUAGCGAUUGGUUACUGACACUACCCACCCCACCAACCAACCCCCUCCAAAUCUCUGCCUUAACAACCGCAGCCUGCAAGCUGUGUUAUCACAAACUUGCACCGCAGGCACUACCUAGGAACCCAGCCAGCCCUAAGGGAACAGCCGCACGAGAGAAGCGCGGGAGGAGCAUCCCCGACCUGCGGCAGCCGCGCAUGCGCACCGCUUACUCUGCGUUCCAACACCUAACACUCCUCUACGCCACCUCGAUCCGGAGAUUAAAGGAGCCUUCUCCCUUUUCAUCCCCAGCUGUGCCCCAUGCUCAAUACACAGCAACUCCAGAGUCCUCAAGCAGCUGUGCGGCGGUGGGGGCAGAAGGAAACUAGUCAAGAAGCACUCGGGCCUAGCUCGAAACUACAACUCCCAGCAGAAUCCGCGCCUCCCCGCCUACUUAUGGGCGGGCAGAGAGCCUCCAGCGGCUUAAAGCGGCGAGAUCGCUACGUGUCUGGAUGUAUGAGUGCCUAGUCCGCUCUCUGUGAGCCGGCGCUGGGAGGGCAGAGAGAGCGGUGGCGUCUUUCUGUCUCUGCCUGUUGUACCUGAGCUAGCAAACAGCACAAUUGAAAUAAACAACCUCUGAGCGCGUUUAGAGGCGUCUCUCAGGUUCAGCAA
This is a non-coding RNA of Callithrix jacchus (white-tufted-ear marmoset), 4475 nucleotides long. The record is from RefSeq and is a predicted model, not a curated record. Lineage: Eukaryota; Metazoa; Chordata; Mammalia; Primates; Cebidae.